RNAcentral lists this ribosomal RNA (424 nucleotides) under uncultured bacterium. RNAcentral describes it as "bacterial SSU rRNA". It matches the Rfam family "Bacterial small subunit ribosomal RNA", at positions 355 to 772 of the family's 1533-position model. The record is from RNAcentral.
UGGGGAAUAUUGGACAAUGGGCGAAAGCCUGAUCCAGCGACGCCGCGUGGGUGAAGAAGGCCUUCGGGUUGUAAAGCCCUUUAAGCCGGGACGAAAAAGCUACACCUAACACGUGUGGCCUUGACGGUACCGGAAGAAUAAGCACCGGCUAACUCUGUGCCAGCAGCCGCGGUAAUACGGAGGGGGCUAGCGUUGUUCGGAAUUACUGGGCGUAAAGCGUACGUAGGCGGCUUUGUAAGUUAGAGGUGAAAGCCCGGGGCUCAACUCCGGAAUUGCCUUUAAGACUGCAUCGCUUGAAUCAUGGAGAGGUUAGUGGAAUUCCGAGUGUAGAGGUGAAAUUCGUAGAUAUUCGGAAGAACACCAGUGGCGAAGGCGACUAACUGGACAUGUAUUGACGCUGAGGUACGAAAGCGUGGGGAGCAAA